RNAcentral lists this long non-coding RNA (201 nucleotides) under Phoenix dactylifera (date palm). RNAcentral's name for it is "long non-coding RNA (PDAC_LNC009030)". The record is from RNAcentral. Lineage: Eukaryota; Viridiplantae; Streptophyta; Magnoliopsida; Arecales; Arecaceae.
GACGCAUGGGAUCGCACGAGAUUGUCGACGAAGAAGCCUGCCGCGGGAUCUUUGGCAUGCAUUGCGAGAGGGUCGUGGACGGCUGGGAAAGGGAAUGCUCAAUCUGGGAAGUCCUUGAUUUGGAAUCAGGAAGCUGACUGCAGAUGGCUGCAUUGGGGGCUUGGACAGUUGAAGAUGAAGCGUGGGAUAGCCCGCCAAUAC